AUAGCACUUGUGUUGGAAAAACGAUUUUGUAAAAGAUGUCCCCAGAGGUGCCAAUGGCAAGCGAAUUUCGUCGCCUUUGGGGGCUGUGCCGCACCCCUUCCGGUGAAUGUGGAGGAUCCACACCC
Molecule: small nucleolar RNA, 125 nt
Filed under: Dasypus novemcinctus (nine-banded armadillo)
Lineage: Eukaryota; Metazoa; Chordata; Mammalia; Cingulata; Dasypodidae
Description: Small nucleolar RNA SNORA68 (ENSDNOG00000029981.1)
Source: RNAcentral